This 521-nucleotide long non-coding RNA is filed under the name Cairina moschata (Muscovy duck). Its description in RNAcentral is "domestica (muscovy Duck (domestic type)) lncRNA (ENSCMMG00000007552.1)". The record is from RNAcentral. Lineage: Eukaryota; Metazoa; Chordata; Aves; Anseriformes; Anatidae.
CAGAGGUCAGAGGGGAAGUGGUGACCUUUUCUCCGCGCUUGCAGGAGGAUGGGGAAAGCAGCACCUCUCUCCUCGCCUUUGGGCUUCGAGCCUUGAGUGUGGAAGCGUGGAGCCUCGCCUCGCCUUGUUUAUGCGUUUAUUUCUAGAAAUGGAAUGAAAGCCUAAGCUGCAUCCCAGGCCCUUUUUGUGAGCCAGGAAUCGUCACAGAAAGGCACAGGGUGAAUGACUGCACGCUGUCUCCAUUAGCAUCUCGUGUGCUCCACAGCAAUACACCUGCUGAUUCCCCUGAAUAAUAUGGCUUAAAUGAGGUACAUUAAACAUGCAUUUCCUUGUCGUGAAUUUCUAGGAGCUCAAUAAUGCUGUUUUGGCAGGUUAAUUCAGCACUCCUCGCAGUGAUGUCUUUAAAGGUUCAUUAAAAUCCUUCAAUGAACUCUUUUUUUUUUUUUUUUUUCUAUGUAAAAGACCAAAAUUAAGAUUUUUGUGAGUAAAAGGACGUGAAAUCUGUCUCACCAUGCUGUGGG